Molecule: non-coding RNA, 148 nt
Filed under: Homo sapiens (human)
Lineage: Eukaryota; Metazoa; Chordata; Mammalia; Primates; Hominidae
Source: Rfam by way of RNAcentral
GCCGGGCAUGGUGGCGGGUGCCUGUAAUCCCAGGUACUUGGGAGGCUGAGGUAGGAGAAUCACUUGAACCUGGGAGGCCGAGGUUGCAGUGAGCUGAGAUCGUGUCACUGCACUCCAGCCUGGGUGAUAGAGUGAGACUCCAUCUUAA